Molecule: ribosomal RNA, 466 nt
Filed under: Staphylococcus aureus
Lineage: Bacteria; Bacillati; Bacillota; Bacilli; Caryophanales; Staphylococcaceae
Description: bacterial SSU rRNA
Rfam family: Bacterial small subunit ribosomal RNA
Source: RNAcentral
UUUAUGGAGAGUUUGAUCCUGGCUCAGGAUGAACGCUGGCGGCGUGCCUAAUACAUGCAAGUCGAGCGAACGGACGAGAAGCUUGCUUCUCUGAUGUUAGCGGCGGACGGGUGAGUAACACGUGGAUAACCUACCUAUAAGACUGGGAUAACUUCGGGAAACCGGAGCUAAUACCGGAUAAUAUUUUGAACCGCAUGGUUCAAAAGUGAAAGACGGUCUUGCUGUCACUUAUAGAUGGAUCCGCGCUGCAUUAGCUAGUUGGUAAGGUAACGGCUUACCAAGGCAACGAUGCAUAGCCGACCUGAGAGGGUGAUCGGCCACACUGGAACUGAGACACGGUCCAGACUCCUACGGGAGGCAGCAGUAGGGAAUCUUCCGCAAUGGGCGAAAGCCUGACGGAGCAACGCCGCGUGAGUGAUGAAGGUCUUCGGAUCGUAAAACUCUGUUAUUAGGGAAGAACAUAUGU